UACGUAGGGACCGAGCGUUGUCCGGAAUUAUUGGGCGUAAAGGGCUCGUAGGCGGUUUGUCGCGUCGGGAGUGAAAUCCACUGGCUUAACUGGUGGCUUGCUUUCGAUACGGGCAGACUGGAGGUAUGCAGGGGAGAACGGAAUUCCUGGUGUAGCGGUGAAAUGCGCAGAUAUCAGGAGGAACACCGGUGGCGAAGGCGGUUCUCUGGGCAUGUCCUGACGCUGAGGAGCGAAAGUGUGGGGAGCGAACAGG
Molecule: ribosomal RNA, 253 nt
Filed under: uncultured bacterium
Lineage: Bacteria
Description: partial 16S ribosomal RNA
Rfam family: Bacterial small subunit ribosomal RNA
Source: RNAcentral